UACGUAGGGUGCGAGCGUUAAUCGGAAUUACUGGGCGUAAAGCGAGCGCAGACGGUUAUUUAAGUCAGAUGUGAAAUCCCCGAGCUCAACUUGGGACGUGCAUUUGAAACUGGGUAGCUAGAGUGUGUCAGAGGGGGGUGGAAUUCCUGGUGUAGCAGUGAAACGCGUAGAUAUCAGGAGGAACACCGAUGGCGAAGGCAGCCCCCUGGGCCUGUACUGACGCUCAUGCACGAAAGCGUGGGGAGCAAACAGGAUUAGAUA
RNAcentral lists this ribosomal RNA (261 nucleotides) under uncultured prokaryote. Its description in RNAcentral is "partial 16S ribosomal RNA". It matches the Rfam family "Bacterial small subunit ribosomal RNA", at positions 524 to 784 of the family's 1533-position model. The record is from RNAcentral.